RNAcentral lists this ribosomal RNA (130 nucleotides) under uncultured bacterium. RNAcentral describes it as "partial 16S ribosomal RNA". The record is from RNAcentral.
GUAACGCCACAGCUGCAAGCUAUUAACUUACAACCUUUCCUCCCUACUGAAAGUGCUUUACAACCCGCAGGCCUUCUUCACACACGCGGUAUUGCUGCGUCAGGCUUUCGCCCAUUGCGCAAUAUUCCCC